GUUCCCGUAGGAUCACCGAAGUAAAGCAACGUCGAGCCUGGUCAGUACCUAGAUGGGUGACCGCUUGGGAAUACUAGGUGCUGUAUG
RNAcentral lists this ribosomal RNA (87 nucleotides) under Acanthosepion pharaonis. Lineage: Eukaryota; Metazoa; Mollusca; Cephalopoda; Sepiida; Sepiidae. The record is from RNAcentral.